GAAGCUGGCCAUAGAGAAGAUCAAAGCUAAAGACCCCACAUUUGAACCCGAGACCUACGGCCUUGACAUGUACAUUCUCCCUCCUGAAGCUGAUGACCAAGAAUUCUCAUCAUAGGGAAGUGACGAUGGGUGCUAAUCACAAGUAAGCUUGAGAUAUGGCUGAGGGAGUAAGUUUAUGAGAUUUUGGUCAUAAAUGUGUUGUUGAUGUAAGUGCUGAAGAACGAAAAGAUCCCCGGAGCGUCG
RNAcentral lists this unclassified non-coding RNA (243 nucleotides) under Hevea brasiliensis (rubber tree). The record is from RNAcentral. Lineage: Eukaryota; Viridiplantae; Streptophyta; Magnoliopsida; Malpighiales; Euphorbiaceae.